This 222-nucleotide ribosomal RNA is filed under the name uncultured bacterium. RNAcentral's name for it is "partial 16S ribosomal RNA". It matches the Rfam family "Bacterial small subunit ribosomal RNA", at positions 355 to 569 of the family's 1533-position model. The record is from RNAcentral.
UAGGGAAUCUUCCACAAUGGACGCAAGUCUGAUGGAGCAACGCCGCGUGAGUGAAGAAGGUUUUCGGACCGUAAAGCUCUGUUGUUGGUGAAGAAGGAUAGAGGUAGUAACUGGCCUUUAUUUGACGGUAAUCAACCAGAAAGUCACGGCUAACUACGUGCCAGCAGCCGCGGUAAUACGUAGGUGGCAAGCGUUGUCCGGAUUUAUUGGGCGUAAAGCGAG